AUGUAUUAAUUACUUUUUACUAUUUUAAGUAGGUUUUAUAUAAUUAAUUAAUAUGUUCAAUACCUGUCCUUGUGCAGUAUACAAAUUACAAAUCUAAACAGUUCACCUUUCAUGUGACUUCCGUACAAUUUAUUCGACAAAGAAUUAAAACUAUUGCGAGAACCAAGUUAAACAUAUGCUAUCUACGAGCUACAACAAUCACAUUCAAACCAUCAUAACUCAAAUCAUUUCUAGUCAAGAGGGAACAAUAGUGAGUGAUGUAGGAAUGUGCCUGAGCCUCAAGGAGAUAACCUAUUUGGAAAAAUGCAGUGCUGCUCCAAUUCAUCAUUAUAUAAUUAUUUAAGUCAACAAAUAAGAGCUUAGUUUUGGAUAAACAAGGUAAAGAAUAUUAAGAAUAUCUUGGAACUAACAUUGACUUUUCAACUAUGAUUCAGCUCAUACAUCUUCUUUGGACAAUCACAUGUUUUUAUUUUCAGCCAAUUAAUUUUUAUCCUUACUGUUAAUUUUUGUAUAUUUAACUGUUAUUGGUGUUUUAUUUACUUAUUUUUUAACAAAAACAUAUUAUGGAUAGAAUUUAUUGACAAAAUGUUAACCAUUGUAAUACAUUAUACAGACAUAAAUUUUCUAAAUUUCGGUGCUGGUCUAGUUGACCUCCGCCAGGAAGGCAAUUCCCCCGCCACUCAAGUUUAGUUGACGCCCGCCAAUUACAUUUUGUAUUUUCGAUAACCAAUAAUUCAUAUUUUAUACAAUAUUAUACUUUUAUUAAAAAUUAUACAAUUAUGAACAAUUCAAGCGAUCAAAAU
Molecule: long non-coding RNA, 803 nt
Organism: Acyrthosiphon pisum (pea aphid)
Lineage: Eukaryota; Metazoa; Arthropoda; Insecta; Hemiptera; Aphididae
Exons: 4
Source: RefSeq, a predicted model, not a curated record